GAUGUUUUGUUUUUCAUAGUUAGCAGAUGUAGAACUGAAUUGAUUUGGCUAAUGCACUUAUGGAAAUAAUGUCUGAAGUAAUAGCCAAAUAUAACUUUUAUUUUAGGAAUACUGGAAGAUAAAGACCCUUUGUGUACUUACCAUUUUAAGGAAAACAAGCCCCAUGGAUUGCAAGACUACAGUGCUUCACAAACAGUGGAGCACUAUUCCCAAACGAUAUUGGGAAAGAUGAGUUUUGUAGAGUUAGAAGCCGCAACACAGAGACACGGCAUGAUUUGCUUGCGUUGCACAUCUGACCUUUUAAGAUGACAAAAAAGAGCUGCCAAAGUGAAGGAGCAGGAUGGAGCAUGAACGGGAGGAAAUGGAUGACUAGGAACUGCUUUCCUUAAGAAACAGAGACCAAGGAAGAAGAAAGGUUGUUUCUGGCAGAGAACAGCGAAUGGCAAGAAAGAGCAUGAGACUGGCACUGCAGAGCAGCACAGAAAGCUCAAGCUCAGGGGAAAUGAUCUGUUGACUACUUUAAAAGAAGGUGAGGUGAUGGGAUUCCCUCUUUUAUGAAAUGGAUAAUUGACAGUGAUGCCAUUCAAAUAUUCUUAUUUAGGGAAUCAAGAAGUGGUUCAAUAAUCUCUAGUAAAAAUGUUAUGCAGUAGGAAGUAGACAAUUUCCCCAAACAGAAGGCAUGACUUGCAGAAUAUUCCAUGCCUCUGUUUCCUCCCACUGCUAUAGUUUGUGUAAAUUGUCUUUGGAAGAAAAGACCAAAGUCUUGUAGUCUUCUAUUCUGAACUUGGUAGGAGUUUUUCAAGUCAAAAACGUAGAUUUUUUUUU
Sus scrofa (pig) is the source of this 825-nucleotide non-coding RNA. Lineage: Eukaryota; Metazoa; Chordata; Mammalia; Artiodactyla; Suidae. The record is from RefSeq and is a predicted model, not a curated record.